UUUUUUUUUUUAAUUUUCUCUUUUCUUUUUCUCUCUUCCCCUCAUUUCAUGUGAAACCGCGUCUCCACAGUGCCUUCCUUGAAAUAUAGUAAUUCAAAGUCUAAGUUUUUGAUUUUGAUUCUUAGCUUCUAACAUACAGAAUCCAUAAAUACUUUAGCUUUGCUCUUCUCUUUUGUUCAUUCAUUUUUUCUUAAAUACCAAACUUUUCCUGUUCUCAUCUUUUCUGGGAUUUUUUUUUUCAUUUUCUUGGCUGAAAACCCAGUUGUUGUUUAUCUGUUUUUUAGUUUCCUACAAAGGGUAUUUGCUUGGAUUUUCUCUUUGACCAAACAAGAAGUAGUGGUUGCCAUGUUCUCCAAGUUCUGUUUCCUUUUUCUUCUUCUUUUGCUAUUUUCUGGUGCUUUUGAAGCGAUUGCAGGAGUAAAUGACCACAAGAAUAAUGUAAAUCGCAAUAUCUCAACUCUUGCGGGAAUCGAAUUGCUUGACCACAUGACGUUCAAUGCAGUUUCUUCUUCAACAAUAAAAACAGAUUGUAGCCUCUCCAGUUCAAGGAAAGACCAACCAACAAAAUCAAUAGCUGCCCUAGAAGAGCAAGAUGACGAUGAUGAUGAACUUGAUGGUGAUGAAGGAAAAGAUUCUAAGAAGACGGUGAAACUUGAGUUAAAGCACAGGUACAGGCCGAUGAAUCAAGAAUCUACCGCAGAAGAAUCUUUUAUCGCUUCCACCACUCGGGAUUUGAGCAGAAUUCAGACUCUACACAAAAGGAUUGUUGAGAAGAAGAAUCAAAAUGUCAUUUCAAGACUAAAAAAAGACAAGGAGCAGCAAAAGAAAGUGUUGAAGCAACCUGUGGUUGCCUCAGCAGCAUCUCCGGAAUCUUAUGCAACUGGGAUUUCCGGGCAACUCAUGGCGACCUUGGAGUCAGGGGUGAGCCUUGGCUCUGGAGAAUACUUUAUGGAUGUUUUUAUUGGUACCCCUCCCAAACACUUCUCUUUGAUUCUUGAUACUGGUAGUGAUCUUAAUUGGAUUCAAUGCGUUCCUUGUCUUGAUUGUUUUGUGCAAAAUGGGCCUUAUUAUGAUCCUAAGGAGUCAAGUUCUUUUAGAAAUAUAAGCUGCCAAGAUCCUCGGUGCCAUUUAGUUUCUUCCCCUGAUCCUCCCCAGCCUUGCAAGGCUGAGAAUCAGACAUGUCCUUAUUUCUAUUGGUAUGGUGAUAGUUCAAAUACAACAGGUGAUUUUGCGCUAGAAACCUUUACUGUUAACCUUACAUCACCUGCUGGGAAGUCAGAAUUUAAGCGAGUAGAGAAUGUGAUGUUCGGUUGUGGUCAUUGGAAUAGAGGCUUGUUUCAUGGGGCGGGAGGGUUGUUAGGACUUGGAAGAGGGCCUCUUUCCUUUGCCUCCCAGCUUCAGUCUCUAUAUGGCCAUUCCUUUUCAUAUUGCCUUGUUGAUAGAAACAGUGACACUAAUGUUAGCAGCAAAUUGAUUUUUGGGGAGGAUAAGGACCUCUUGAGUCACCCUGAGUUGAAUUUCACUUCAUUGGUUGCUGGUAAGGAAAACCCAGUUGAUACAUUUUAUUAUGUUCAAAUAAAAUCGAUCAUGGUUGGAGGAGAGGUACUAAAUAUACCUGAGAAGACUUGGAAUUUGUCCUCUGAUGGUGCUGGUGGUACAAUUGUGGAUUCUGGCACUACACUGAGUUAUUUUGCAGAACCAGCUUAUCAGAUCAUAAAGGAUGCAUUUGUGAAGAAGGUUAAAGCCUAUCCAGUAAUAAAAGAUUUCCCAAUACUGGAUCCUUGUUAUAAUGUCUCUGGGGUUGAGAAGAUGGAGCUGCCUGAAUUUGGAAUCCUAUUUGCAGAUGGAGCAGUGUGGAAUUUCCCAGUUGAAAACUACUUUAUUCGUCUCGAACCUGAGGAAGUUGUUUGCUUGGCAAUUCUGGGGACUCCUCAAUCUGCUCUUUCCAUAAUUGGAAACUAUCAGCAGCAGAAUUUCCACAUCUUAUAUGAUACAAAGAAUUCUAGGCUGGGAUAUGCACCAAUGAACUGUGCAGAUGUAUAACAUUUUUCUACGAAUGAAAUGGUAGCUAGGGGGAGAAGCAGCACUCAGUCAUUGGUGUUUCUUGGGGGGCAAUUUUUGGUUUUCCUUUCAAAACAGGCCUAGCAAUAGCAUACAGAAAGUUAGAUUCAUUAUUAUUUUUUUUCUUUCUUUUUUCACAUAAUUAUACCAUAGACAUGACUGUAAUCUGCCUCACUAAGUGUAUCAAUACAGUUUUAUGCAUUUUUAAUUACUGUUUGUUUUCUCAUGAAGCUGAGCAAUGACAAGCUCCUUCUUAUCAUACAACCUUCCACUGAAC
Molecule: unclassified non-coding RNA, 2338 nt
Filed under: Hevea brasiliensis (rubber tree)
Lineage: Eukaryota; Viridiplantae; Streptophyta; Magnoliopsida; Malpighiales; Euphorbiaceae
Source: RNAcentral